UUGGGGCCCCCGUGUCAAUAACCCAUGGAUGCAAUGAUACAUUAUUUGCAAGACAAAUAGAAUUAUAGCUGCCAGAGGGGUCAUUUGAGCAGUCAGGUUGCAGAAGGUCCAUCAGGUGCUGAUAGAGCUCAUUUGAGAGGUCAGGAAUAACACUCGUUGUAGAAGGUAAAGGUGACUAGGAUACGGCAUUUGUAGUGGUGUUUGUUACUAGGUAUCCUUCUUUUGCUUUGGUUUAGAGGUGUUCCAAUAGGCUGGGUACCCAAUAAUUUCAAAGUAGCCCUCUCUUUGGUGACCCUCUUUAAAACACCUUGUGCACUUUUUGCCAUUUUGUGAUCGAUUGUGGAAAUUUGGUGGAUGAGAUCGAGCUACAGCCAUGGCAGAAUUAUCUGGUGUAGGAAGCAACGAGAAAUGGAGAUUUCGUUGGGUCUCUUCUUGAUGGAUAAUGGCGUAGGCUUUGGUGACUGUGGGCAGAGGAUCCAUGGCUAGAAUCUGACUUCUAGUGUUGUUGAAAGAUUCAUUCAGACCCAUAAAAAUUUGGAAGAGUUGUUCGAUUUCUUCUUUCCUUCGUCAUCUUUGCGGGUAGCACGCGUACAGGAACUGGGUUGAAUGAAGGCAUAUAAUUCAUCCCAGAGACCUUUGAUGGUGCUGUAAUAGGAUGUCACUAUCAUUGAUUCUUGUCGAAGAUUAACAAGAUCGUGCUUUAGACGAUAUAGGCGUGGGUUGUUGCUUUGAGAGAAUCGUUGUUCUAGGUCCAUCCAUACAGUAGAAGGAUUUUGGCAAUAGAUCAAGCUUUGUCGGAGAGACUUGUCAAUGGAAUUGAGCUGCCAAGAGAGAACCAUGUCGCAGCACCUCUCCCACAGUGUAGCCCACAGUGUAGCAAUUGAUGCAUCUGCAGGUUUUUUUUAAGGGAUCCAUUGACAAAAACCAAUUUAUUUUUGGCAUUGAGAGCCAUUAGCAUAGAGCAAUGCCAUGUGGGGGUAAUUUCACUAAUGAGUAAUUUUGGAACCAAAACAGCACAAGGAUUAUUUGCAGUAGUCAGAAAAUAAGGUGAAGUUAGAUCAUUGACAAGUUGGGCUAGUGUGAGGGUGACGAUGGAGUCAGCCAUGGUGAAGAUGCGAAAGUGUUCGGAGAUCCCAAAGAUCAAGAUGCUCUGAUACCAGGAAAGAUAAAUCUUCUACUGGAAUAAUGUAAUCUGUAGGGGUUUGACUGGUGCAAUUUUUUUGCUGGAAUAAUUUGUUGAACUGGUGCAAUUCUUUGCUGGAAUAAUGUAAUCUGUUAAGGCUUGACUGGUGCAAUUUUCUACUGGAAUAAUGUGCUGGAAAUGGCAGUGAACUGUGAAGCUUAACUGGUGCAAUCUCUCUGCUAGAAUAAUGUAAUCUGUUUGCUGGCUAAUGUUACAUCCCAAAUUCUGAAAGUCCCAUCCACCCUACAUGUUAAAAUGCCAUUUGCCAUCCUCACUGAAGCACAUAUCUGUUAUACGAUCUGUAUGGCCUUCAAAUUUCUGAACCAUCCUCAAUGCCACAACAUCAAACAAAUGGAUAACCAAGUCAUCUGCCACAGUAGCCAAAAGGCCAUUAGAACAAUGAUACAUUAUCUUAACCAGUGAACAACCUAUUUUUCACCUUGAUUUCGUUUUGAGCGUCUUGAAAUUGUAAACUUUGACAUCUCCACGAUAUCCAGCGCUUAUCAUAAUAGUAUUCGUAGAAUCACAUUAUACAACAAUACCAAGCACUUCUCCAUCAUAAGCACAGGUUUUUCCCUCAGACUUAUCAAUAUAACUGCCUCAACUGAUUCCUGACUAAAGAAUAAAACGGUCAAUCCAACACAUUGCUGUCCCAAAAACUGCAAAAGUGCCACAAGAACUAAUGGCACAGGAUUAAAGGGAGUUGGAUACUCUACACGUGGGGUUAGGAUAUGCUCACCAAUAAUGAAAUUUUGAAGCCUCUACACGUAAGCUUGAGAAGUAUCGAUAUGGCAUGUAACUAUAUUGCACCAAUCACGUUCUCGAAAUUCAAACGCAAUUAUAGGCUUCAGCUUUAUUUAUGUUUCCUUCAGACAAAGCUUUUUUGAUCUUUUAGAUCCAUAACAUUCAGAAAACUCUCCGCUUUGCUGAUCCUGGCAAUAGAGGAAAGAGGAAAAGCACAGUCCUGGCCAGCAG
This 2158-nucleotide long non-coding RNA is filed under the name Olea europaea subsp. europaea. Lineage: Eukaryota; Viridiplantae; Streptophyta; Magnoliopsida; Lamiales; Oleaceae. The record is from RNAcentral.